AGCGAACGCUGGCGGCAGGCUUAACACAUGCAAGUCGAACGGGCGUAGCAAUACGUCAGUGGCAGACGGGUGAGUAACGCGUGGGAACGUACCUUUUGGUUCGGAACAACCCAGGGAAACUUGGGCUAAUACCGGAUAAGCCCUUACGGGGAAAGGAUUUAUCGCCGAAAGAUCGGCCCGCGUCUGAUUAGCUAGUUGGUGUGGUAACGGCGCACCAAGGCGACGAUCAGUAGCUGGUCUGAGAGGAUGAUCAGCCACAUUGGGACUGAGACACGGCCCAAACUACCUACGGGAGGGCAGCAGUGGGGAAGUAUUGGACAAUGGGCGGCAAGCCUGAUCCAGCCAUGCCGCGUGAGUGAUGAAGGCCCUAGGGUUGUAAGCUCUUUUGUGCGGGAAGAUAAUGACGGUACCGCAAGAAUAA
This 421-nucleotide ribosomal RNA is filed under the name uncultured bacterium. Its description in RNAcentral is "bacterial SSU rRNA". It matches the Rfam family "Bacterial small subunit ribosomal RNA", at positions 29 to 489 of the family's 1533-position model. The record is from RNAcentral.